Molecule: ribosomal RNA, 420 nt
Filed under: uncultured bacterium
Lineage: Bacteria
Description: bacterial SSU rRNA
Rfam family: Bacterial small subunit ribosomal RNA
Source: RNAcentral
GAGGAAUAUUGGGCAAUGGGCGCAAGCCUGACCCAGCCAUGCCGCGUGCAGGAUGACGGCGCUAUGCGUUGUAAACUGCUUUUGUACGGGAAGAAACCCAUCUACGUGUAGGUGGUUGACGGUACCGUCAGAAUAAGCAUCGGCUAACUCCGUGCCAGCAGCCGCGGUAAUACGGAGGAUGCAAGCGUUAUCCGGAUUCAUUGGGUUUAAAGGGUGCGUAGGCGGAGUACUAAGUCAGUGGUGAAAUCCUGCAGCUUAACUGUAGAACUGUCAUUGAUACUGGUAUUCUUGAAUGCAGUUGAGGUAGGCGGAAUGUGUAAUGUAGCGGUGAAAUGCUUAGAUAUUACACAGAACACCGAUUGCGAAGGCAGCUUACUAAACUGUGAUUGACGCUGAGGCACGAAAGCGUGGGGAGCAAAC